Molecule: ribosomal RNA, 253 nt
Filed under: uncultured bacterium
Lineage: Bacteria
Description: partial 16S ribosomal RNA
Rfam family: Bacterial small subunit ribosomal RNA
Source: RNAcentral
UACGGAGGUGGCGAGCGUUACUCGGAUUCAUUGGGUGUAAAGGGCAGGUAGGCGUCCUCGCAAGUUCUGGGUGAAAUCCUAAGGCUCAACCUUAGAACUGCCCAGAAAACUGCGAGGAUUGAGGCUAAAAGAGGAGAGUAGAAUUCCCGGUGUAAGGGUGAAAUCUGUAGAUAUCGGGAGGAACACCAGUGGCGAAGGCGGCUCUCUGGUUUAGUCCUGACGCUGAGCUGCGAAAGCUAGGGGAGCAAACAGG